Long non-coding RNA from Esox lucius (northern pike), 7339 nucleotides. The record is from Ensembl. NCBI's taxonomy places the organism in Eukaryota, Metazoa, Chordata, Actinopteri, Esociformes, Esocidae.
CCGGUGUUUAACUUAAUUUUAUUAUCACAUACAGAGAUGGGUACAGGGAUGGGUUGGAAUAUGUCACACAGGUAUUAAACAUUUUGCUAAGUUAGAUAUCAAACUAAAAUAAGCAAUCUGUAUCACUUCUUAUGAAGUGAUAUGAAGUCUUAUGAAGUCAUCAAUGAAGUCGUCACUGUAAUCGUAUUCGUCUGGACUCUCGCUGUUUUUGUAGUCCAUCGUAUCCUCCAAAUCCUCACCGGGGAUCUUAUCUUCAUCCUCAUGACACUCUUCCGAUUCGCAGUUUACUUCCUCAGCCUCGUUCAGCCAAGGGUGCUCGUUGUCCUGACUGUACCUGUGGUGCAAGCUGUGUGCUGGUGAAUCGUGGGCCAUGUUGUCACUCUUGGACCCAGAUGAUUUAGAGGCUGAAGACUUAUUUGACUUAGAAGCCGAGCGAUCUUGCGUCACCGCUUUGGGGUGGUGAAAAGGUUCUUGUUUCUUGGCACAUUUGCCAACUCUUUUGCUACGCAGAUCGCUUUUUUUGCUUUGAGCGCUAGGUUUCAUCUUGUUGGACGGUUUAGCCACCAGCUGGUCUAGUCUAUCAUGAAAGUCUGAUUGGACAUCAGUAACUUCCAGUGACGACUCUGCAGCAGAUGUAGGCUCAGCAGGUUGGUUCGGGUGAUCCUCUCUGUCUAGCCCGUCCUCCUCACGGUCACACCCCCUCUCUCCCUUGUAAUCAGGUGACUCUUGUUGAAGGGUAUCAGUAGGCCACGCAGCUUGAUCGGUCACCUUGGCCACUCUUGCAGCCUCUCCACUUAAGCUCUGCGCUUGGGUCUGUGGAACACCAGGACUUCUAUGUGAAGAUGUAGCGUUGGGGUGGUAGCUGGGUUCUUGCUUUUUGAGAGCCUCUGGCUCCUGGAGGGACCUCCCUGGCUCUGUCCUUUUGAGUUUGCGUCUGGGUGUAUUGUCAAGCAUGCCCUUUUGAGUAUUCUCACACGCUCUUCUCUCCUUCUGCUCGGAGUAGGUGUUGCUGAUAAGAGAGCUAGUGCAUUUUAUCUUGGAAGGACUGACUCCCUUUAUACCUCCCCCCAGUUUCUCCUCCCCUUCGUAGUCAUCCGACAGCUUUUCCCGAGUCCGACAGCUUUUGCCUUUUUGUCCAGCCCUCUCUGUCAAAGCACCGGACAGACAUGUCUUUAACCACCUUGUCACUCCUGCCAUGUUUCUCCUCACUCCUGUCAGGCCGGCUGUUCUUCUUUGUAUGUUUGGACCCAGAUAACUUACAGGCUGAAGACUUAUUUGACUUAGAAGCUGAGUGAUCUUGCGUCACCGCUUUGCUGAAGUUUUUUGUGUCCCACCGUGUCUCAUUUAUCCACUCAUGGCUGAAUCGUCCACCCAUGGCCGAUUCGUCCAACCAUGGCUGAAUCUUCCAACCAUGGCUCAUUUAUCCAACCAUGGCGGAAUCGUCCAACCAUGGUUAAUUUAUCCACCCAUAGCUGAAUCGUCCACCCAUGGCUGAAUCGUCCACCCAUGGCUGAAUCGUCCAGCCAUGGCUGAAUCGUCCACCCAUGGCUCAUUUAUCCACCAAUAGCUGAAUCGUCCAGCCAUAGCUGAAUCGUCCAGCCAUGGCUGAAUCGUCCAGCCAUGACUGAAUCGUCCAACCUUGGCUCAUUUAUCCAACCAUGGCGGAAUCGUCCAACCAUGGCUUAAUCUUUCCCAGUUGUCAGGAUAACGACAGUGUAUGUUCUGAUCACGGCUCUGCUUCUGUCAUAGUAGACAAGGUUGUUUUUUGCAGAGUACUGUUGUUGCCCUUGUCCGUAUCGCCCUGAAGGCCUCUCUGCCUUAAUCAAGAUGUUGUAGAAACCUUGACAGAAAUACUGUCUCAUCUUCUUCUGUAUCGAGCCACUCUGUGCCCACAAUUUGUUGCUGUUGGGCACAAGGCUCAAGGUUCAAUUUCAAGUUGUGCUGUUCUGUCUCAGCGUUGAAUUGGAGAUGUGUUCCAGGCAUAACAAGGUCAGGCCUUCCGCCUUUUCCCAAACAAAAUUUCCGUUAUGCCAUGAAUCUGGCUCUGGAACACAGAACGUGCCAAAGUGAAAGGUUGCAGGAGGUUUCACUUCACAUGGUUGUCCCAAUUCGUGUCCAUGCAUUAAGCUAGAGGUCCGCCACACAGUCCUUACAGGAGAAGACAAAACAUUGCAUCAAUAUACCUAUUAUCCUGGUCCCUAAUAUAAAGGCUACUGCAAUACUAAAAAUAACACUCAACUAAUAAUGAAACGGUGUGACUGAAUGUCAGAAAGAAAUAGGGACUGGGGCGGCGGAAGGCCGCGGUAAAGAAACUGGGGCGGCAGCAGGCCGUGGAAAAGGGACAGGUGCUGGCUGUGGAGCAACAAGAGGGGCGGUGGCAGGGACUAGGACAGCGGCAGGCCAAAUAAGAGGUCACAUACCACGAAGGGUUUUCUGUCACAAUGAAUUUUGGUGUUGUAUCCUCCAUGUUGUUGUAUAUUGAUGAAUAAAGCCACUUGGUUACCAGUGGAACUGAGUUAUAAAUAAUUCAGGCUGUAAACAAUAAACGCACUGUAGUUUAGGCACAGGGGCAGCGGCAGGCCGCUGAGCAGAAACAGGGGCGGCGGCAGGCCGAGGAGAAGAAAAGGGGUGGCAGGCUUUGGAAAACGGGACUGGGGCUGGCUGUGGAGCAACAAGAGGGACGAUGGCAGGGACUGGAGCGGCGACAGGACGCGGAGUAGGGGCAGAGACUGGGAUGGGGGCCGGCCGCAGAGAAGGGACUAGGGCGGCGGCAGGCCAAAUAAGAGGUCACAUACCACCAAGGGUUUUAUGUCAAAAUGAAUUUCGGUGUUGUAUGCUGUGGCAGCAGGGACUGUGAUUGUUGUGAUUUUUCAUUUCAGUUCCAAAGAUGCAUUGUUGAGCUGGGAGAUGCUGUUGCCUGGGUAAAUGCCAACAUGGGCCUCUCCUGAGACUGGGUACAAGUCCUCACCCCUGAAUGAUGAGGAAAUACAGGUGGUCUGCAGAUGCUCAGAGAGGCUUCAAAUCUAGAGGAAGAACUCUCUCCCCAUUCAUGUUUUUGUUUAGUAAUUUUGAAGACACUGAAACAUUCAUGGACGAAACAGACAAAAGAGGACUUAGUGAUAAUUUUUCAGGAUACCUAUUAGCUGUCUUUAAACCAUCAUCUAAUGCUGUUUUCCACACAACAACAAUUACAAGAUCCAGAAAACACAAUACAAUUUGACGAGACAAACAGACAAAGAACAUCAUUUAUUUAGCAAGAAUAAACUGGACAGUGUUUUGGAAGUGUUCACCUGGCCAUACAACAUGAUAGGAUGAAUCCAAAUCCUACAGAAUCUGGCCAAAGUUGAAUACACAGUACGUAAAGAAACAGUUUAGUUUUGACAGUGUUGGAAUGUAAUGUUUUGAAUAUUUAAUGGGGUAAUUAAAUGUUUAAUUGUCUAACUGGCAUAUAAUUUAAUGUUGUAUUUUUAAGUUAUGCCAUUAACUUUAAGAUUUUGGGCUACAUUAAUUGACUUUCUCAUUUGUGCUCUUUUGGACCUGUUCUACUUGUAAUUUAUGCUAUUGAAUCAACUUUUAGGUUAAGGGUUAAAUUAGAUGUAACACUUACAUUCCUCCCCCCAAAAAAUUAAGUCCAUAACCACAUCAUUACUAUAUAAUAAAUGUUGCUUGUUCCAGGCACUCCUGGAAAAAUGUAUUGUUCUGUAAACAGAUGUUGACCUGAGCUCUACAUGAUGCAAAUUGAAACUUGCCAUUUUUCUGCAACAGGCUAUAGAAAAUUCCACACUUCCAAUUACCAGUUUCAACUUUCUACAAGAUUGCUUUUAAAUUGAACAGUGCAAGUCAGAGGAAGGAGAAACCAUUACAAUGAUUUGUAUGAAAACUGGUCAGAUCUAUACAGGUAGAACCCACAGGUCUAGGGAAAGGACCUUCAGAACAGUUUAGCUGUCACUGAAGUUGUUGCUCCCAGGUCCACCGCAAGAUAUAUCUUACACACCGUGUUCACAUUUGUGUAAUAUGUUGAAUCUAUGGAAAAUACAUAAAUGGUAAUAUUGUAUAAACUUGUGCAAAAGGGAGGCCUGUUUCACUUUGUAACAUGAAGAGCUCAGAUCAACUAUAUUUUAACUGCAAUAAGCAGCAUUCUCAAUCAUCAACCUCCUAAUGAUGGCCUUCAACUUAAUCACAUAUAACCAAGCAAUGGCUACUCAAAGAAAAACUGACCAUGGCAGGCAUAGUGAGUAUGACUGUGCAUGUGUCUGAAUUAUAACUGCACUUAGCAGCUUUCAAAACCACCAGUAUCUCAUUCUUGACUGUAACCUAAACAUUUAAAACUUUUUUAGAGGCACCUCAGUCUUCAAAACAAUAUAUUUCAGUUGUUAUCAAACAAUUUUAAUCCUGAUACAAAAUACAAUUAAAUGUUUUAUUUUACAUAAUUGGUACAAGCAUAAUCAGACUAGUGUUUUUUCAACAUGCAGUCAAAGCAAAUACACUUUUGUUUUCUAUCAGUGCUUCAACUGCUUGAACCUAGAGUUAUAUCUUGACAAAUUAUAUUGAAUAAAAUCACAUGGACUCUGAGAUAAAGUUGUAACUAUAGUUUACUCUUCCUCCAUUAGUACACUCAACGUAAUGACAUCAUACCCAUACAUGACACCUAUUGUUGAAACGUGUGUCAAACCAGGAUGUCCCCAAACUGACCAAUGGCGAACAUCAGUGGAUGUAACUUAAUGUUCAGGAACCCCCAUUUAAACUGACCAAUAGCGAACAUCAGAGGGCGUAACUAAAUAUUCAGGAACCCCCAUAUAUAAAGAAACUCCCCCGACUUGCGGAAAAGGGACUGGGGCUGGCUGUGGAGAAACAAUAGAGACAGCUGAAGGGACUGGCGCAACCGCAGUCCGCAGAGCAGGGACAAGGGCAGGGACUAGGGCGGCGGCAGGCCAGAUAAGAGGACACAUACCACGAAGGGUUUUAUUUCACAAUGAAUUUCGGUGUUGUAUCCUCCAUGUUGUUGUAUAUUGAUGAAUAAAGCCACUCUUUGUUGUAUGUGGCAGAGUCUGUAUCCCACCUCUCCUUGGACUCUCUGUUGUAUGUCACAGUCUGUCACUCACCUCUCCUUGGACACUCUGUUGUAUGUCACAGUAUGUAUCUCACCUCUCCUUGGACACUGUUGAUUGAGGCGGAAGCCAAAUAAGAGGACACAUACCACGAAGGGUUAUAUGUCACCAUGAAAUAUGGUGUUGUAUCCUCCUUGUUGUUGUAUAUUGAUGAAUAAAGCCACUCUUUGUUGAAUGUGGCAGAGUCUGUAUCCCACCUCUCCUUGCACUCUCUGUUGUAUGUCACAGUCUGUCACCCACCUCUCCUUGGAAUCUCUGUUGUCUGAGGCGGAAGCCAAAUAAGAGGACACAUACCACGAAGGGUUAUAUGUCACAAUGAAUUUCGUUGUUGUAUUUUGAUGAAUAAAGCCACUGUUUGUUGAAUGUGGCAGGGUCUGUAUCCCACCUCUCCUUGGACUCUGUUGUAUGUCACAGUCUGUCACCCACCUCUCCUUGGACACUCUCUGUUGUAUGUCACAGUCUGUCACCCACCUCUCCUUGCACUCUCUGUUGUCUGAGGCGGAAGCCAAAUAAGAGUACACAUACCACGAAGGGUUGUAUGUCACAAUUAAUUUUGGUGUUGUAUCCUCCUUGUUGUCGUAUAUUGAUGAAUAAAGCCACUCUUUGUUGUAUGUGGCAGAGUCUGUAUCCCACCUCUCCUUGAACUCUCUGUAGUAUGUCACAGUCUGUCACUCACCUCUCCUUGGACUCUCUGUUGUAUGUCACAGUCUGUCACUCACCUCUCCUUGGACACUCUCUGUUGUAAGUCACAGUCUGUCACCCACCUCUCCUUGGACUCUGUUGUCUGAGGCGAAAGCCAAAUAAGAGGACACAUACUACGAAGGGUUAUAUGUCACAAUUAAUUUUGGUGUUGUAUCCUCCAUGUUGUCGUAUAUUGAUGAAUAAAGCCACUCUUUGUUGUAUGUGGCAGAGUCUGUAUCCCACCUCUCCUUGCACUCUCUGUUGUAUGUCACAGUCUGUCACUCACCUCUCCUUGGACUCUCUGUUGUACAUGUCACAGUCUGUCACCCACCUCUCCUUGGACACUCUCUGUUGUAUGUCACAGUCUGUCACCCACCUCUCCUUGGACUCUGUUGUCUGAGGCGGAAGCCAAAUAAGAGGACACAUACCACGAAGGGUUAUAUGUCACAAUUAAUUUUGGUGUUGUAUCCUCCUUGUUGUUGUAUAUUGAUGAAUAGAGACACUCUUUAUUGUAUGUGGCAGAGUCUGUAUCCCACCUCUCCUUGCACUCACUGUUGUAUGUCACAGUCUGCCACUCACCUCUCCUUGGACUCUCUGUUGUAUGUCACAGUCUGUCACUCACCUCUCCUUGGACACACUCUGUUGGAUGUCACAGUCUGUCACCCACCUCUCCUUGGACCCUCUGUUGUCUGAGGCGGAAGCCAAAUAAGAGGACACAUACCACGAAGGGUUAUAUGUCACAAUGAAUUUCGUUGUUGUAUUUUGAUGAAUAAAGCCACUGUUUGUUGAAUGUGGCAGGGUCUGUAUCCCACCUCUCCUUGGACUCUGUUGUACAUGUCACAGUCUGUCACCCACAUCUCCUUGGACACUCUCUGUUGUAUGUCACAGUCUGUCACCCACCUCUCCUUGGACUCUGUUGUAUGUCAGAGUCUGUCACCCACCUCUCCUUGCACUCUCUGUUGUUUGAGGCGGAAGCCAAAUAAGAGGACACAUACCACGAAGGGUUAUAUGUCACAAUUAAUUUUGGUGUUGUAUCCUCCUUGUUGUUGUAUAUUGAUGAAUAGAGCCACUCUUUAUUGUAUGUGGCAGAGUCUGUAUCCCACCUCUCCUUGCACUCUCUGUUGUAUGUCACAGUCUGUCACUCACCUCUCCUUGGACACUCUCUGUUGUAUGUCACAGUCUGUCACCCACCUCUCCUUGGACACUCUCUGUUGUAUGUCACAGUCUGUCACCCACCUCUCCUUGGACACUCUCUGUUGUAUGUCACAGUCUGUCACCCACCUCUCCUUGGACUCUCUGUUGUCUGAGGCGGAAGCCAAAUAAGAGGACACAUACCACGAAGGGUUAUAUGUCACAAUGAAUUUCGUUGUUGUAUUUUGAUGAAUAAAGCCACUGUUUGUUGAAUGUGGCAGGGUCUGUAUCCCACCUCUCCUUGGACUCUCUGUUGCAUGUCACAGUCUGUCACUCACCUCUCCUUGGACUCUGUUGUAUGUCACAGUCUGUCACUCACCUCUCCUUGGACACUCUCUGUUGUAUGUCACAGUCUGUCA